CGUGCAGGCGGGAGAGUAAGUCAGAUGUGAAAUGCCAAGGCUUAACCAUGGAACUGCAUCUGAAACUAUUUUCUUGAGUGCUGGAGAGGAAAGCGGAAUUCCUAGUGUAGCGGUGAAAUGCGUAGAUAUUAGGAGGAACACCAGUGGCGAAGGCGGCUCUCUGGACUGUAACUGACACUGAGGCACGAAAGCGUGGGGAGCAAACA
Molecule: ribosomal RNA, 206 nt
Filed under: uncultured Bacillota bacterium
Lineage: Bacteria; Bacillati; Bacillota
Description: uncultured Firmicutes bacterium partial 16S ribosomal RNA
Rfam family: Bacterial small subunit ribosomal RNA
Source: RNAcentral